GGGGGCAUAGCUCAGCUGGGAGAGCGGUGCGUUCGCAACGCACAGGUCAUGGGUUCAAGUCCCACUGUCUCCA
This 73-nucleotide transfer RNA is filed under the name Bacillota bacterium. RNAcentral's name for it is "tRNA-Ala". It matches the Rfam family "tRNA". From Rfam's summary of the family: Transfer RNA (tRNA) molecules are approximately 80 nucleotides in length. The record is from RNAcentral. Lineage: Bacteria; Bacillati; Bacillota.